This 82-nucleotide ribosomal RNA is filed under the name uncultured bacterium. RNAcentral's name for it is "partial 16S ribosomal RNA". The record is from RNAcentral.
UAACACAUGCAAGUCGAACGAGGUCCAUGGACUCUUCGGACUCCGGAAGACCUAGUGGCGAACGGGUGCGUAACACGUGAGA